GACGAACGCUGGCGGCGUGCUUAACACAUGCAAGUCGAACGGAAAGGCCCUGCUUUUGUGGGGUGCUCGAGUGGCGAACGGGUGAGUAACACGUGAGUAACCUGCCCUUGACUUUGGGAUAACUUCAGGAAACUGGGGCUAAUACCGGAUAGGAGCUCCUGCUGCAUGGUGGGGGUUGGAAAGUUUCGGCGGUUGGGGAUGGACUCGCGGCUUAUCAGCUUGUUGGUGGGGUAGUGGCUUACCAAGGCUUUGACGGGUAGCCGGCCUGAGAGGGUGACCGGCAACAUUGGGACUGAGAUACGGCCCAGACUCCUACGGGAGGCAGCAGUGGGGAAUAUUGCACAAUGGGCGGAGGCCGAAUGCAGCAACGCCGCGUGCGGGAUGACGGCCUUCGGGUGGUAAACCGCUUUCGCCUGUGACGAAGCGUGAGUGACGGUAAUGGGUAAAGAAGCACCGGCUAACUACGU
Molecule: ribosomal RNA, 467 nt
Filed under: uncultured bacterium
Lineage: Bacteria
Description: partial 16S ribosomal RNA
Rfam family: Bacterial small subunit ribosomal RNA
Source: RNAcentral